RNAcentral lists this ribosomal RNA (253 nucleotides) under uncultured bacterium. RNAcentral's name for it is "partial 16S ribosomal RNA". It matches the Rfam family "Bacterial small subunit ribosomal RNA", at positions 524 to 776 of the family's 1533-position model. The record is from RNAcentral.
UACGUAGGGGGCAAGCGUUGUCCGGAAUCAUUGGGCGUAAAGAGCGUGUAGGCGGCCCGAUAAGUCCGCUGUGAAAGUCCAGGGCUCAACCCUGGGAUGCCGGUGGAUACUGUCGGGCUCGAGUACGGAAGAGGAGUGUGGAAUUCCUGGUGUAGCGGUGAAAUGCGCAGAUAUCAGGAGGAACACCAAUGGCGAAGGCAGCACUCUGGGACGUGACUGACGCUGAGACGCGAAAGCGUGGGGAGCAAACAGG